This 562-nucleotide ribosomal RNA is filed under the name uncultured bacterium. RNAcentral's name for it is "bacterial SSU rRNA". It matches the Rfam family "Bacterial small subunit ribosomal RNA", at positions 338 to 917 of the family's 1533-position model. The record is from RNAcentral.
CCUACGGGAGGCAGCAGUGGGGAAUCUUGCGCAAUGGGCGAAAGCCUGACGCAGCCAUGCCGCGUGAAUGAUGAAGGUCUUAGGAUUGUAAAAUUCUUUCACCGGGGACGAUAAUGACGGUACCCGGAGAAGAAGCCCCGGCUAACUUCGUGCCAGCAGCCGCGGUAAUACGAAGGGGGCUAGCGUUGCUCGGAAUUACUGGGCGUAAAGGGAGCGUAGGCGGAUAGUUUAGUUAGAGGUGAAAGCCCAGGGCUCAACCUUGGAAUUGCCUUUGAUACUGGCUAUCUUGAGUAUAGGAGAGGUAUGCGGAACUCCGAGUGUAGAGGUGAAAUUCGUAGAUAUUCGGAAGAACACCAGUGGCGAAGGCGGCAUACUGGCCCAUUACUGACGCUGAGGCUCGAAAGCGUGGGGAGCAAACAGGAUUAGAUACCCUGGUAGUCCACGCUGUAAACGAUGAGUGCUAGUUGUCGGCAUGCAUGCAUGUCGGUGACGCAGCUAACGCAUUAAGCACUCCGCCUGGGGAGUACGGUCGCAAGNUUAAAACCUUAAAUGAAUUGACCGG